RNAcentral lists this long non-coding RNA (816 nucleotides) under Lepidothrix coronata (blue-crowned manakin). Its description in RNAcentral is "lncRNA (ENSLCOG00000001758.1)". The record is from RNAcentral. Lineage: Eukaryota; Metazoa; Chordata; Aves; Passeriformes; Pipridae.
GGUGAAGGCCAUGCUGCGAGAACUGGGGGAGUUGUGGGAGGACCUGCAGAGGAAGCACCAGGAGAAUGGCAUUGUGCUGCGAGAAAUUGAUAAGGCACUGAGGCUGGUGGGGGAGCUGGACCAGGCUGAGCAGUGGCUGCAAGCUGUGUCAGGGUCGCUCUCAGAACCAGCCGCCAUGAGAAGCCCGGCGGAGCUGCGCCAGGACCUGGAAGAGAUGGGCCAGCUGGAGAAGCAGCUCCUGACGUGUGGCCUCAAGCUGCAGGCACUGCGGGAGGAAACAGCAGGCGAGUCGCCCACUGAGCACGAGGGGGCGAGGAAGAUGCAGAGGAAAGUGGAGAUGGUGGAGGAGAAGUUGGCACAUGUGCAGGCAGCCCUGCGGCGCCGGGCAGCAGAUCUGCGGGACUCCCUGGUGCUGUCUGAGUUUCUGCAGGACCUACAAGAAGAGGAGGCACAGAACCAGCAGGGAUCUGCAGCGGUGAGCAGAACAGCCAGGCAUCCCUUGGGAUCACACAGCACCUGGGACUGGACCAAGGGUUGGUCUGUGGCUGGCAAGGGGACCCUAUUGGGUGCUCCCCUCCAGCCCAGCUGCCUGGGGUGUCACUCCCCAUCUCUCUUAUGCCUGGUGUUUCUGCUGGCUUCAGCCAGGGAGCAGGUGUUGCAGCUUGCAGGGGUCUUUUCCCCUACUGUCAGCCCAGGCUGAGCAGCCUCCGAGCAGUGAGGACAUGAGCAGCCCCUUGGGAGAGUUGCAGGAGGCUGUGGAGAUGCUGAAUGAUGCAGCGAAGGAGCGGGAGCGAGUCAUGGAGGUGGCAGCGGAGA